This 348-nucleotide ribosomal RNA is filed under the name uncultured eukaryote. RNAcentral describes it as "SSU rRNA". It matches the Rfam family "Eukaryotic small subunit ribosomal RNA", at positions 594 to 945 of the family's 1831-position model. The record is from RNAcentral.
AUAGCGUAUAUUAAAGUUGUUGCAGUUAAAAAGCUCGUAGUUGAACUUCAGCCUCUUGGCCGGGCGGCCUGCCUCACGGUAUGUACUGUCUGGCUGGGGCUUACCUUCUGGUGAGCUUGCAUGCCGUUUAUUCGGUGUGUGAGGGAACCAGGACUUUUACCUUGAGAAAAUUAGAGUGUUCAAAGCAGGCAAAUGCCCGAAUACAUUAGCAUGACAUAAUGGAAUAGGACGUGCGGUUCUAUUUUGUUGGUUUCUAGAGUCGCCGUAAUGAUUAAUAGGGACAGUUGGGGGCAUUAGUAUUGAGUUGCUAGAGGUGAAAUUCUUGGAUUUACUCAAGACUAACUACUG